Molecule: ribosomal RNA, 292 nt
Filed under: uncultured bacterium
Lineage: Bacteria
Description: partial 16S ribosomal RNA
Rfam family: Bacterial small subunit ribosomal RNA
Source: RNAcentral
GUGCCAGCAGCCGCGGUAAGACGAACCGUGCGAACGUUGUUCGGAAUCACUGGGCUUAAAGGGCGCGUAGGCGGGCUGCCAAGUCCGGGGUGAAAGCCCUCCGCUCAACGGAGGAAUGGCCUUGGAUACUGGCGACCUGGAGGAAGGUAGGGGCGUGCGGAACUCUCGGUGGAGCGGUGAAAUGCGUAGAUAUCGGGAGGAACGCCGGUGGCGAAAGCGGCACGCUGGACCUUUUCUGACGCUGAGGCGCGAAAGCCAGGGGAGCAAACGGGAUUAGAUACCCCGGUAGUCC